GGAUGUUUAGCUCAGCGGUAGAGCGUCUCCUUUACAUGGAGAGGGUCGGGGGUUCAAAUCCCUCAACAUCCACCA
Molecule: transfer RNA, 75 nt
Filed under: Rickettsiales bacterium
Lineage: Bacteria; Pseudomonadati; Pseudomonadota; Alphaproteobacteria; Rickettsiales
Description: tRNA-Val
Rfam family: tRNA
About the family: Transfer RNA (tRNA) molecules are approximately 80 nucleotides in length. Their secondary structure includes four short double-helical elements and three loops (D, anti-codon, and T loops).
Source: RNAcentral